AAUGUGUCAAUUUGAGAUCUCUGACUUUCUAAGUAAGAUGUGACACUGCCAGAAAAUAAGUAAAUUCAGAAGUCCAGUGGGAGGACUAAUGCCAUGGAGAACCAUGGCACACCUGGUGAAGCCUCUGCUCCAAAGGCUCACCUUAAUGUCCAGCCCUCAGAGGAAGGUCAUCUGAUGGCACCCACCACCAAUGAGAUGCCUGAGGAGCUUUCACCACUCACUGACUACCUGACCGAUCUAAC
Long non-coding RNA from Sardina pilchardus (European sardine), 242 nucleotides. RefSeq lists it as uncharacterized. The record is from RefSeq and is a predicted model, not a curated record. The transcript is spliced from 3 exons. NCBI's taxonomy places the organism in Eukaryota, Metazoa, Chordata, Actinopteri, Clupeiformes, Clupeidae.